Molecule: transfer RNA, 85 nt
Filed under: Ruminococcus sp.
Lineage: Bacteria; Bacillati; Bacillota; Clostridia; Eubacteriales; Oscillospiraceae
Description: tRNA-Leu
Rfam family: tRNA
About the family: Transfer RNA (tRNA) molecules are approximately 80 nucleotides in length. Their secondary structure includes four short double-helical elements and three loops (D, anti-codon, and T loops). Further hydrogen bonds mediate the characteristic L-shaped molecular structure. tRNAs have two regions of fundamental functional importance: the anti-codon, which is responsible for specific mRNA codon recognition, and the 3' end, to which the tRNAs corresponding amino acid is attached (by aminoacyl-tRNA synthetases). tRNAs cope with the degeneracy of the genetic code in two manners: having more than one tRNA (with a specific anti-codon) for a particular amino acid; and 'wobble' base-pairing, i.e. permitting non-standard base-pairing at the 3rd anti-codon position.
Source: RNAcentral
GCGCCUGUGGUGAAACUGGCAGACACGCAAGAUUUAGGUUCUUGUGCCGUGAGGCGUGCAGGUUCGAUUCCUGUCAGGCGCACCA